RNAcentral lists this ribosomal RNA (253 nucleotides) under uncultured bacterium. RNAcentral's name for it is "partial 16S ribosomal RNA". It matches the Rfam family "Bacterial small subunit ribosomal RNA", at positions 524 to 776 of the family's 1533-position model. The record is from RNAcentral.
UACGUAGGGGGCAAGCGUUGUCCGGAAUCAUUGGGCGUAAAGAGCGUGUAGGCGGCCAGAAAAGUCCGAUGUGAAAACUCGAGGCUCAACUUCGAGCUGUCGGUGGAAACUUUCUGGCUAGAGUCCGGAAGAGGAGAAUGGAAUUCCUGGUGUAGCGGUGAAAUGCGCAGAUAUCAGGAAGAACACCCGUGGCGAAGGCGGUUCUCUGGGACGGUACUGACGCUGAGACGCGAAAGCGUGGGGAGCGAACAGG